Molecule: ribosomal RNA, 305 nt
Filed under: uncultured bacterium
Lineage: Bacteria
Description: bacterial SSU rRNA
Rfam family: Bacterial small subunit ribosomal RNA
Source: RNAcentral
GUGGACCUACGGGAGGCAGCAGUGAGGAAUAUUGGUCAAUGGGCGCGAGCCUGAACCAGCCAAGUCGCGUGAGGGAAGACGGUCCUAUGGAUUGUAAACCUCUUUUGUCGGGGAGCAAAAGACGCCACGUGUGGCGUUCCGAGAGUACCCGAAGAAAAAGCAUCGGCUAACUCCGUGCCAGCAGCCGCGGUAAUACGGAGGAUGCGAGCGUUAUCCGGAUUUAUUGGGUUUAAAGGGUGCGCAGGCGGAAGAUUAAGUCAGCGGUAAAAUUGAGAGGCUCAACCUCUUCGAGCCGUUGAAACUGG